AGAGUUUGAUCCUGGCUCAGAACGAACGCUGGUAGCGUGGAUUAGGCAUGCAAGUCGAACGGGAUCAGCCGGUUAGCAAUAAUUGGCUGUGAGAGUGGCGGAUUGGGGAGGAACACGUGAACAACCUGCCCGAGAGUUCGGGAAAACCGUUGGAAACGACGGCUAAUAUCCGAUGCGGCGCCCUGUGACAUCACAGGAACGCUAAAGGGGGCCGCAAGGCUCCCGCUCGUGGAGGGGUUCGCGCACCAUCAGCUUGUUGGCGGGGUAACGGCCCACCAAGGCGACGAUCCAUAGGGGUUCUGAGAGGAAGGUCCCCCACAUUGGUACUGAGACACGGACCAAACUCCUACGGGAGGCAGCAGUGAGGAAUAUUGGUCAAUGGGCGGAAGCCUGAACCAGCCAAGUCGCGUGAAGGAAGAAGGUAUUAUGUAUUGUAAACUUCUUUAGACGUAGAGAAAUAAGGGGAUCGUGAUCCCUGAUGCUAGUAUACGUAGAAUAAGGAUCGGCUAACUCCGUGCCAGCAGCCGCGGUAAUACGGAGGAUCCGAGCGUUAUCCGGAUUUAUUGGGUUUAAAGGGUGCGCAGGCGGCUUUCUAAGUCAGUGGUUAAAUAGCGGUGCUCAACGCCGUCCCGCCAUUGAUACUGGAGAGCUUGAUUGCGGUCGAGGUUUGCGGAAUUCGUCGUGUAGCGGUGAAAUGCAUAGAUAUGACGAAGAACACCGAUUGCGUAGGCAGCAGACCAGGCCGUAAAUGACGCUCAUGCACGAAAGUGCGGGGAUCGAACAGGAUUAGAUACCCUGGUAGUCCGCACAGUAAACUAUGAAUACUUGCUUUUGGCGAUAUUACAGUCAGAGGCAAAGCGAAAGCGAUAAGUAUUCCACCUGGGGAGUACGCCGGCAACGGUGAAACUCAAAGGAAUUGACGGGGGGCCCGCACAAGCGGAGGAACAUGUGGUUUAAUUCGAUGCUACGCGAGGAACCUUACCCGGGCUUGAAAGUUACCGACGGACCAGGAAACUGGUCUUCUCUUCGGAGCGGGAAACUAGGUGCUGCAUGGUUGUCGUCAGCUCGUGCCGUGAGGUGUCGGCUUAAGUGCCAUAACGAGCGCAACCCUUUUCCGUAGUUACCAUCAUUCAGUUGGGGACUCUGCGGACACUGCCAUCGUAAGAUGCGAGGAAGGAUGGGAUGACGUCAAAUCAGCACGGCCCUUACGUCCGGGGCGACACACGUGUUACAAUGGACAGGACAGAAAGGAUCGAAGCGGCGACGCUGAGGGAAUCUCGAAACCUGUUCCCAGUUCGGAUCGGAGUCUGCAACCCGACUCCGUGAAGCCGGAUUCGCUAGUAAUCGCGCAUCAGCCAUGGCGCGGUGAAUACGUUCCCGGGCCUUGCACACACCGCCGGUCAAG
This 1405-nucleotide ribosomal RNA is filed under the name uncultured bacterium. RNAcentral describes it as "bacterial SSU rRNA". It matches the Rfam family "Bacterial small subunit ribosomal RNA". The record is from RNAcentral.